RNAcentral lists this ribosomal RNA (205 nucleotides) under uncultured bacterium. RNAcentral describes it as "partial 16S ribosomal RNA". It matches the Rfam family "Bacterial small subunit ribosomal RNA", at positions 568 to 774 of the family's 1533-position model. The record is from RNAcentral.
UGCGUAGGCGGGUUGGUAAGUCCGUGGUGAAAUCUCCAAGCUUAACUUGGAAACUGCCGUGGAUACUACCAAUCUUGAAUUUAGUGGAGGUGAGCGGAAUAUGUCAUGUAGCGGUGAAAUGCUUAGAUAUGACAUAGAACACCCAUUGCGAAGGCAGCUCGCUACACUAUUAUUGACGCUGAGGACAAAGCGUGGGGAUCAAACA